AGGGGAUUUGCCGUGUUGUAUUUAUACUUGUCAAUUCAUUUUCAAUCAUUAGUUACAAUUCACUAAGCGGAUUGUACAGGUGGUUGGCAGAGUUGGGAUGAAUGGGAAGUGUGUGUUCUUCAUCAAUGGAGCCUGUGGGAGCUAUGAGUAAUAUAUGGGAUGCUGCAGAGGGAUCGUUGGACAGCUGCUCAGAGGAGGACUAUGACUGUCCCAUAUGUCAGGAUGUCCUGAAAACCCCCAUCAGGACCAGGAACUGCAGACAUGUGUUCUGUAAAAACUGCUUCCGCCUGGCUGUGAGGGCCCAGGGGCCACACUGUCCCCUGUGCAGGGGCCCCGUAUCGGAGACUGAAAAGAGAGCAAUAGAUGUCCAGCAGCAGAUGAGGGAGAGGAAAGGACAGUGCAGGGCCUGUGGU
Long non-coding RNA from Salvelinus fontinalis (brook trout), 413 nucleotides. RefSeq lists it as uncharacterized. The record is from RefSeq and is a predicted model, not a curated record. NCBI's taxonomy places the organism in Eukaryota, Metazoa, Chordata, Actinopteri, Salmoniformes, Salmonidae. The transcript has 3 exons.